Molecule: long non-coding RNA, 881 nt
Filed under: Rattus norvegicus (Norway rat)
Lineage: Eukaryota; Metazoa; Chordata; Mammalia; Rodentia; Muridae
Description: long non-coding RNA NONRATT000173
Source: RNAcentral
GACAGGUUGACAGCACUAGCUGGUUUGAACUGUCAUUUGAGUUCCUGGGAGUUUAUGAUAGCGUACAGUUCAGAAGUCUACACCACUGUGUAUCUCCUUAUCUCUGGCUGAUAAACUCUUGAGGAUUGUGACUUACUUUGUUUCCAUUUUCUUCAGCUUUGUGCAGUUCUCUUGUACUUUAACUGUAUCUAUAUUUUCUGUUUACAAGUUAAUUUUAAGGGGAAGGGUAGGAUUUUAAGAUCUUGGUUAUUGUAGAUAAUUUUUUUCUCGUGUUGUAGAAAAGCAUGGGUUAUACAUUUGAGUGAAAAGGCACUGUAUUAUUUACCAAAGGUGUAUUGUUUGCAUUUGUUUAUAAAUGCAUUAUUUUAGUACUGUAAAUUUGGGCAUAACUUCUGAGUUUACUACUAUUGCUUCAGCUGGCAUCUGUCUUUCUCCUUCUCCGUCAUCCCCAUAAAUGUGCAAUGUGGGGUGCAUAGGUCACAGACCAAACAAGACCACCAGCAUGUAAUUGUCCACACUUUGGGAACAGCGUGCACUGUUUCGUACACAUCAGUCCCUCCAGUGUUGGUUUUUUAAUUUUUUUUAUUUUGUUUAUAAAUUCAGCAUUUUGCUUUAACCUUCCGGAAAGAUCUGUUGAGAGUCCCCAUUGCAUCUCAAUGAGCUCUCUCUUAUUUGCCUAUCUUUGUAUGUAUUUUGUAUACUAGAUUGUGCAGGACGUAUUCUAGAAGGGAUCAAUGGUUUGCAUUCAAAAUGAUGUAGUUUGUCCAAAAUAUUUUGCCUUUAAAAUUGAAAUGGGUUAAUCUCAUUUUUUUCUUGAUGAUUUGAAAUUGUAAGAUUUGUCCAGCUAUUGCUUAAUAAAAUUUUGCGGAUCAAAAAAGAUC